GUAGGGAAUCUUGCGCAAUGGGCGAAAGCCUGACGCAGCCAUGCCGCGUGAAUGAUGAAGGUCUUAGGAUUGUAAAAUUCUUUCACCGGGGACGAUAAUGACGGUACCCGGAGAAGAAGCCCCGGCUAACUUCGUGCCAGCAGCCGCGGUAAUACGAAGGGGGCUAGCGUUGCUCGGAAUUACUGGGCGUAAAGGGAGCGUAGGCGGAUAGUUUAGUCAGAGGUGAAAGCCCAGGGCUCAACCUUGGAAUUGCCUUUGAUACUGGCUGUCUUGAGUUUGGGAGAGGUGAGUGGAACUCCGAGUGUAGAGGUGAAAUUCGUAGAUAUUCGGAAGAACACCAGUGGCGAAGGCGACUCACUGGCCCAAUACUGACGCUGAGGCGCGAAAGCGUGGGGAGCAAACAGGAUUAGAAACCCGUGUAGUCC
Molecule: ribosomal RNA, 425 nt
Filed under: uncultured bacterium
Lineage: Bacteria
Description: partial 16S ribosomal RNA
Rfam family: Bacterial small subunit ribosomal RNA
Source: RNAcentral